GAUGAACGCUGGCGGCGUGCUUAACACAUGCAAGUCGAGCGAGAUUAUUCUUCGGAAUAGUCUAGCGGCGGACGGGUGAGUAACACGUGGGCAACCUGCCUUGUAGAGGGGGAUAGCCUUCCGAAAGGAAGAUUAAUACCGCAUAACGUUGUUGAAAGGCAUCUUUCGAUAAUCAAAGGAGUAAUCCGCUACAAGAUGGGCCCGCGGCGCAUUAGCUAGUUGGUGAGGUAACAGCUCACCAAGGCGACGAUGCGUAGCCGACCUGAGAGGGUGAUCGGCCACAUUGGGACUGAGACACGGCCCAGACUCCUACGGGAGGCAGCAGCGGGGAAUAUUGCACAAUGGGGGAAACCCUGAUGCAGCAACGCCGCGUGAGUGAUGACGGCCUUCGGGUUGUAAAGCUCUGUCUUUGGGGACGAUAAUGACGGUACCCAAGGAGGAAGUCACGGCUAACUACGUGCCAGCCGCCGCGGUAA
RNAcentral lists this ribosomal RNA (476 nucleotides) under uncultured bacterium. RNAcentral's name for it is "partial 16S ribosomal RNA". It matches the Rfam family "Bacterial small subunit ribosomal RNA", at positions 28 to 523 of the family's 1533-position model. The record is from RNAcentral.